AGGGUUAUAGAAAGAAAAGAACAAAGUUGUAAUAAGUGGAUUGUAUUUGGAAGCUAAGUAAGAACAAAUGUAAUGUAAAUGUAAAACUGGGAUGAAUGCUUGUAAUAGUAUAGUUGUAUUUAUGUUUUUGAUACCUUCCUUUUACAAUUUGUGUAUGAAUGCUGUUCCUGGUUGGAAUCUCGCGCAUUGUAUGGAUUGUGAUGCCUUGGACG
RNAcentral lists this long non-coding RNA (212 nucleotides) under Ananas comosus (pineapple). Its description in RNAcentral is "long non-coding RNA (ACOM_LNC002175)". Lineage: Eukaryota; Viridiplantae; Streptophyta; Magnoliopsida; Poales; Bromeliaceae. The record is from RNAcentral.